This 9996-nucleotide long non-coding RNA is filed under the name Gossypium barbadense (sea-island cotton). Its description in RNAcentral is "long non-coding RNA (GBAR_LNC009270)". The record is from RNAcentral. Lineage: Eukaryota; Viridiplantae; Streptophyta; Magnoliopsida; Malvales; Malvaceae.
CAAUAAACCAAAUCCCAUAGCCCAAAUACCACCAGCCCAAUACUCAACUAGCCCAACAUAAAAAAAAAAGAGAAACAGACAACAAGAAACCUUGGCUACCACACCCCACUUUCCUCUGACACUAGCACCAUCUUUGGUCACCACCAUGUCGGCUACCACGCCCCAUGCUUCUGCCAACACCAUCCCCGCAUGUCUGGCACCUCCAUACCUUGCAAGCAGCAAUGAAGAGAUAGAAACUAAUAGAAAAUGAAAGUGUAAAGGUUAUAAAAGCCAUGAAAACAAGUGUAAAAAAGGGGAGGAAGCAAAAAAAAUUUUCCAGCAAAAAAAUUUCAGCAGCAAAAAAUUUUCCAGCAAAAAAUUCCAGCAGCAAAAAAUUUCCAGCAAAAAAAUUCCAACCAAAAAAAAUUCCAGCAAAGAAAAUUCCAAAAAAAAUUUCCAGCAAAAAAAAAACCAAAAAAGGAACAUUCAGCAAUCUAAGCAAGAAAAAACUUCAAUAUCCAGCAAGCAACCAAGGACUAACCACCAUUAACACCACAACCAAGCUCCCAAACCGAAACCCACUCUAAAUACCCGAGCCAAUCGAUUAUAAGCCACCCCAAAACCCAAAUCUCAACUACCCGUAGCUUGAUUUCACACGGCGCAUACGAUGGCUGUUGGUGGCGCGCACGGUGGAAGGAAAAAGAGGGGUUCAGCGGCUUGAAGCUUGGAUCUCUUCUUUCUUUCUUUGUUUGCUGCUGGAGAUUUGUUUGUUUUAGGGGGGUUUAGUAUUAAAAAAAGAAAGAAAUAUUUUAGUUAAUGGGUUGGUUUAUGUAAGGUUUGAUGGGUUAAAUUUAGUUUGGGUUAAUUAAUGGGUUGGGUGAUAUGUUAAGUUAGUGGGUUGGGUUGGUUGUGUUGGGUUUAUUAAGUUAGUGAGUUGGGUUGGUUUGUAUUAUUAUUAUUAUUUUUAAAUUAGUGAGUUGGGUUUAGUUUGGUUUGAAAAAAAAAUAAUAAAAUAAAUAAAUAAAUUUUUAAAUAGUCGGGUCAACCCGACUCUAUUUGCGACAAUCUAAUCUAGUGACGAUCACCAACAAAGGCCCAUUUCAGCAACCCGAGGAGAAAAGAGAUUAAUUUCAGUAACCCAUAAUAUUGGACUUCGGUAUAUUCUUACCCUUUUUAUUAUUUACUCAUUCCGAAUUUAAUAUAUAUUUUAGAUCACAUUAUUACAAAAUUAUUAUUAGUUUUCUUUUUAGAAAUAUUUUUUUCUUCUAAUUAAUUUCAAUAAAUAAGGCAACGUAUCGAUUUAACAUAAGGUCGUUGAUUUCAUCGCUAUGUUGGGUGAAUAUCAUUGGCUCGUGUUAAAAAUGGGACGUCCUUUUUGAAAAAUCGAAAAAUUUAAAAAUUCUUGUGUUUUGAAAUAGGAUAUUUAUUUUUGUGAUUAUUGGUAAGUGAUCAAAUCUUAUUUUUAAAAUGCAGAUGAGGAUAGGUAAUUUGUCAAAAUUCUAGUGUUGUAAACUUUUCGUGUUUCCAAAAUUUUUCGUGUUUCUCUAAAAAAAAAUUUCAGGUUUCAAAAAUUUUCGUGUUUUAAAAUUUCUCAUUUUUCAAUUGGAUCAUGAUUAAAUAUUAAAUUGAAUUCGUUCUUUGAAAUUAAAGACAACGCGUGUUUAACAAGAUACCAAUUUUGGGCGUCGCGAGGGUGCUAAUACCUUCCUCGUACGUAACCGACUCCCGAACGCUAUUUUUCUCUGGAUUUUUGCGUAGACCCAAAUUCGGCCUUCAUUUUUGUUCAAAUAAAUUUUCUUUUCAAAAAAGAUGAUUUAUUAGGUGUCCGAUCACACCUAAAAAAAGAUCGGUGGCGACUCCCCUUUUUAAAAAAACGAAAGUUGGUUUUUUAAAUUUCCAAUAAAUUACCUCAAUUAGCGACCGAAAGCUAAAAAAUUUUUUUUACGUCGCUACAGCUGGCGACUCCAUUGGGGAUCCUAACCUUUUUUUUGAGAGUCGAGACGAAUUAAGCGUGCAUUGUUGAAAUUUUCAAAAUUCCUCGUUCAAGUAAAUAUUUGGUCGUGAUCCGAAAAUCUCGUUUUUGAAAAAUCAUGCACUUGCAUCUGUUGUAAAUAUUUUGCUAACUUAUUUUAUCCUUUUGUUUUUAAGCUCUAGAUUCUUACGACUCUGGUUUAAUUUUAAAUAAAACGAAAGGUUUGUGAGUUUCUCCCCACACACCGUGCACGUAUAUUUUUGCAUAACAUGAGCUCUAUACCCGGGCUCCGUCCGUUUAAGUGAAAGUAAACGAUAUGCCUUCGUGAGUUAACUCGUCCCUCCGCAUAGGCUAGUGAAUACUUUCAGGUUACAUAUGACUUAUGCUUUCGUGAGUUAACUUGUCCCUCCGCAUAAGAAUAAGUAAAUGUAAUCCCUCGAAUUGGACUCGAAAGCCUAUGAUGGGCAAUGACUGAGGCUAUAUACUAAUCAUAGUAGAUGACAGUAUGGACAAUUCGAGUACCUAUCUAGAGCCAAAACCGCAUAUAGUGAACUGUACGAGCCACCUAACUAGAGCCAUGCCUAACCUUUGUCCGUUUACUAGUCACCGAAAUAAGUACACGGGAAAAACACAUCUUACCUUCUGUUUCUUUUACAUUUACGCUUUCUAUGCAAGGGAAUCGAGUCCAUUGGACCAAGGAGCUUAAUUUGUUAGAUUUUCCACAGUUUUUCUCUGUUCAUAUGUGUUAUGCUAACCAAGGUUGUUUGUCUGUAUUUCUAUUUUUCAUCAUGCAUCAAAGGCAUCUUGUUAGGAAGGUGUUGAUUAGAGAUUGGUUGCCAAAAAUGGGUUUCUGAUGGAGGAGUCAAUUAUACGAAUGACCGAAAUGUUGUGUACUAGACUCUUUUGAUUAAGGAAAUGCCUAAAUAGGGGCUAUCUUGAAAUUAACACCAAAUUUUUGCAUAUUCAUGACUGACAUUCAUCUGCCAUUUAUUCAUUCAUCCAUUCAUUGUAUGUACAUGUCCCUUAAUCAUUCACUGAGGCUGAAACCGAAUGAUCUACAAUUGUAACGCUACGAGUCUAGAAUCACGCCAUUCGUAUAAGACGCGGCUAAGAGCUAGAACUAUUGAGGCCGAAUUCAAUGAGAGAAUUGAAAGAAUGGAAAAGGCCCAAAGAGAAUUGCAAGAACAGUUGGCUAAAUCACAGCAGGAAACGAGAGAUCUGAUGGUAAGGUCUCGAGAGGAAUCACUCAAGCAAAGGGAUCAAAUGGCCAAAAUGAUGGAGAUGAUGUCAGCUUUUGUUAAAGGGAAUGGACUUAUGCAGAGUCCUGACGUUAUAGAACCUCAGUCAAUAGUUAAUCAUGAUCAGGAUCCAUUUUAUCCCCCAAGAUUCACCCCGCCUCACGUUCAUGUAACGCAAAGAGGAUGUCCUCAAAAGGAGCCUGUAGGCUUGGAGCAACGACCUGUACCACCUACUCAUUUAGGGCAAGGUAUAUCUGUAUCAAACCCCGGAGGUAAUCCCGUUGAUCUUAAUAUUCCAGAUCGGGAUGACCCAGUAGAGAUAGCCAAGUUGAAAUUAGACGAUCAUGAUGUUUGGGGCAAGUAUAGGAGUUUUGAAGAAAGGCUCAAGGCAAUCGAAGGCGUUGAAGUCUUCUUUGCAUUAAGUGCCAAGGAGCUCAGUCUGGUGCCUGAUCUGGUUCUGCCUCCGAAGUUUAAAGCAUCAGAUUUUGAAAAAUACGACGGAACGAGAUGUCCUAGAAUGCAUCUUGUCAUGUUUUGCCGAAAAAUGACGAGUCACGUGAAUAAAGAUAAGUUGCUAAUACACUGUUUCCAAGACAGCUUGGUCGGAUCGGCUCUUCGAUGGUAUAAUCAACUUAGUAGAGAAAGGAUUCGAUCAUGGAAAGACUUAGCAUCAGCAUUUUGUGAACAGUACAAGCAUGUGUCUGACAUGGUGCCUGAUCGAAUGACUCUACAAAGGAUGGAAAAGAAACCAGCAGAAACCUUUAGGCAAUAUGCUCAAAGGUGGAGAGAUAUCUCGGCUCAAGUGGAACCACCAUUGACUAAGACUGAGAUAACAGUCCUUUUCAUCAAUACUCUGAGAGCACCAUUCUAUGACAAGUUGGUAGGAAGUGCUACGAAAGACUUUGCGAACAUUGUGAUAUCCGGGGAACUUAUAGAGAAUGCCAUCUAAAAUGGAAGGAUGGAAUGCCCUGAUAGCUCAAAAGGGCAGCACCCAUGAAGAAAAAAGAGCCAGAAACCCAUGUGGUGGGAAUAGGAAGCCACUAUGCUUCUAAUUCGUACCCAACUCAACCAUGACCUCGAUAUCACCCACCUCCGAAUUUCACAUACUUGGGAGUGUUUUGAACAAUAGGACAGUGGAAGAGAUCCGUGUACUUUUAAAGCUAAUCUAGAGUAAUAUUCAAAACAUACUUAUUGCCUUAAGACCUAGAGGUGAUAAGAUUUCUUUUGAGAAAUAGGUUUUGGUCCAAGAUUUUUAUUUCAAUGAAAUGCAUCUUUCUGAGUAAAUUUUCUUCUAUUUAUAGAUUCUUUUAUUAUUUGGACUUUCAUUCUUUUAUUUUACAUUCAUGAUCAUCCUAUACAAAUAAUCAUCCUUAAAAUCAUUUAUUCUCUAGAAUUUUCCUUCAUACCCACAGUAGGUCCCCAGAUAUCAAUGUCACGAGCGACGCUGUUACUAACUCCCUUUGGAGCAAGAUGUGUGUCUAGAGGAAUCUCAAGACUUCGAAGAUGACAGAGACUGUGUCCAUCUUCUGAUUCGUGAAGGAUAACAGAAUGAGAUGAAAAAUAGACCCUAACUUACAAAGGGCCAGCUGACAUUGUGAGCUUGGGAAAGUGAUGAAGAUCGAAACCUAGCUCACCACAAAAAUAAGGCAAGACUAUUAAGUUAUUUCUAAGAAUUUAAGGAUGUUUUUGCACGAUCAUAUUAAGAUGCACUUAGGAACAUCUGGAAAGAGGUCCAUAAGGGUGUCUAGAGAACACAUGACAAUGGUUCUGCAAUAGCCAAGCUAAUCAAUGAGGAUCGGAUGUUGUUGGUCCACCAUGGGAAGGGAAUAGCAUCAGUUAUGACGUCAAGACUCACGUGCUUCUUUCAUCUCUUCACAAACUUUUCAAUACGUGGGGCAUAGAUGUUCUGGGGAUGAUCUCGUCAAAAGCUUCCAGUCGACAUCAUCGUCGUGGCCGUCAAUUGCUUCACUAAGAAGAUGAAUGUAGCUUCAUAUGCCAAUAUUAUAAAUUCGACAGUCAUGAAAAGAAAAAAAACAAAAAAAAUAAAAAGAAAAAAAAGGACAAAACAAAAAAAGAAAUCAAAUGCCAGAAAGAAUCAUGUUUUAAUGUGUAACUGUACAAUGUCAUAUCACAAUGCAACAAAGGCUACCAAAAGAAAGAUACAAAAAUCAAGAAAAGUUAUAGAAGGUGACCGAGACUUGUAAAUAUUGACAUAAGAAGCUACCUUUUACUCUUUGUGCUUAUUAAAGUUGACCAGGAUCUUUACUGGGGCAUUAGAGGUGGUUCUGUCCAUGGAAAUUAAGAUUCUUUUUCUCCAAGCUUUGAUUGAAUCAAGAAUUGGAUGAAGUAAAAUGUCUUCAUUAAACUUGACUGCAAAAAAGGGUUUGAAGGUCAAACGCGUAUGAUGCUGAGUUAUGACGGAAAUGGUUCACCCAAAGGAAUUUCAUAGUAGGAACUUGGUAUUGCAGAAGAUCCUUUCUAUAUGAAAGGAUUUCAAAGGGAAAUGGAUGCUUAAGAACUUUAUGAGGUAAAGGAGGCUUUCCCCGAAAGAACACUGAUCCAAUCCUAAAUUCGGAUUCAGUCCAGAAAUACUUGAAAAGAAGUGGCCAAGGUGAAAACCCGCAAAGGGCGCCUUGUGACCUUCAUUCAUUCAAAAGUAAAAAAAAAAAGAAAAAAGAAAAGAAAAUGGAGAGGUCAAGGUGAAAACCCGCAAAGGGCACCUUGAGACCAAAAGGGUUUUGAGUUGAAAACCUGAAAAAGGCAACUCAAAUCUUGUUCUAAGUUGGGGCAUAUGGUAGUCUUGCUAUACUUGAAUUGACAGUGCAGAAGUAUGCUACGUCUUGGGGCAUUGACAAAGUACUCUGAAUCCCCUAAACACAUGUUGAACUUAAAAUUGUCUCAAAAGGAGUUUGUACAGAGAAGCUCAGGCGGCGAUAUUUGGGGCACUUAGCUUUCCAUUUUACCCAUUUCUGAAUUUAUCUUUGAUUAUCUUAUUCUUUUCAAAAUAAGCUUCCAAUAAACUUGCAUUUACUCUCAUUGUUCAACUUGUUUGUUUCGAGCUAUGCUCUUAACCGAUUUUCUUCUUGUCCAUCAGUUCGAUCCUUUUCAAGCAUUUCGCAUUGAAAUAAUGAUUAAUGGACUAAUCAUACUUUUAUAAAAGGAAUUUUGCAUAUUACUCUGAAAGCUUCUAAAUAGUACUGGAACCUAAAACCAGUCGGUUGUUCAAGAGCUUACCAAGUGUAAGGGUUGGAAAUAUUUGAGCUCAAAUUGAGUUUAUCUCCUCAGAUUUUCUGUCAAAAAUAUCAGUCGAUGGAACAAAUUACAGAUCAUACACCCUUGAGUUACAGUAGGAUACAGAUCCUAUAGCCAGGAAUUGCAGUGGAAUGGUUUAAGGAUAGUGCCAACCUUGUAUCCCAAAAUUACAGUGGAAUAGACCCUGAAAUUACAGUGGGGCUGAGCAAAACAUGAUUAUUUCUUCGGAUUUUGGGUCAAAAUACCAACCGAGCAUUAGGGCAGCGUACUACGUCAGUAAUAGAGCCCUGAUGGGCAAUGAGUGAUGACGCCUUAAAAAAAGAAGAAGAAGAUCGAGAUGAAAACCUGAAAAGGGCGUCUUGAUAAACAAAAAUUAGGAUGAAAACCCGAAAGGGCGUCCUAAUGAAGCAGGUUUGGGCCCAAGGAGUAAAAAGAUUCAAGAAGUGAGUCAAGCAGCAAGACUACAGUAUUUGAAGGAUUUUUAGCAGCUCGGAAAUUUAUACGCAAGAAGACAUACUCAAAAAGAUUCUUAAUUAAGAAAUGUGGAAGAGUUCAUGCGUUGAAGAUCUAGAGUAUUUUGAAAUAACAUGCUCCAAACAAAAGAAAUGUUGAGCAUUACCCGGAUGAGAAUUUGAUAAGUACAAAAGCCUCAACGCAAGGACAAAGUUCAACCAGGGGCAAGAGAGCGAUAACUGAGAAACGCAGAUUACUCGUGAAGCUAGAGGACGGGUACAGGGCCUGAAGAGAAAGUCAAGAGUCAAAGCAAUGAACACAGAUCAUCAAAAAUCAUGAUGGAAAGGGACAUACGACAAACAUGCCUAAGGCGCAUAGCAUAAUCAUGUAGGCAUAAAGGCAUUUAAGACAAACAUGUGCAUAUCAUGAUAACAUCAUGCAUUACAUACACAGGUACUCCAGUAGAAUAAGAAGAUGUGAUGAUAGUUGUAUUGAAUUAAAGGAAAAGACACCUGAGUUCCACCAGAUAACAUGUUUUGGUAUUCUGAUGCUUUUAUUUCUGUUUCAAAAAUUCAACUCAUAUUGCGAGUUGAGCCUCAAGACACGUUGAGGUAUUUUCAAUUUCUGCUUUUCAAAAUUCAACUCAUAUUGCGAGAAAUGAGUUGAGCCUCAAGACACGUUGAGGUAAUUUCAAUUUCUGUUUUCAAAAUUCAACUCAUAUUGCGAGAAAUGAGUUGAGCCUCAAGACACGUUGAGGUAAUUUCAAUUUCUGUUUUCAAAAUUCAACUCAUAUUGCGAGAAAUGAGUUGAGCCUCAAGACACGUUGAGGUAAUUUCAAUUUUUGUUUUCAAAAUUCAACUCAUAUUGCGAGAAAUGAGUUGAGCCUCAAGACACAUUGAGGUAUUUUCAAUUUCUGCUUUUCAAAAUUCAACUCAUAUUGCGAGAAAUGAGUUGAGCCUCAAGACACGUUGAGGUAAUUUCAAUUUCUGUUUUCAAAAUUCAACUCAUAUUGCAAGAAAUGAGUUGAGCCUCAAGACGCAUUGAGGCAUUUUCAAUUUUUGCUUUUCAAAAUUCAACUCAUAUUGCGAGAAAUGAGUUGAGCCUCAAGACACGUUGAGGUAUUUUCAAUUUCUGCUUUUCAAAAUUCAACUCAUAUUGCGAGAAAUGAGUUGAGCCUCAAGACACGUUGAGGUAAUUUCAAUUUCUGUUUUCAAAAUUCAACUCAUAUUGCGAGAAAUGAGUUGAGCCUCAAGACACGUUGAGGUAAUUUCAAUUUCUGUUUUCAAAAUUCAACUCAUAUUGCGAGAAAUGAGUUGAGCCUCAAGACACAUUGAGGUAUUUUCAAUUUCUGCUUUUCAAAAUUCAACUCAUAUUGCGAGAAAUGAGUUGAGCCUCAAGACACGUUGAGGUAAUUUCAAUUUCUGUUUUCAAAAUUCAACUCAUAUUGCAAGAAAUGAGUUGAGCCUCAAGACACAUUGAGGCAUUUUCAAUUUUUGCUUUUCAAAAUUCAACUCAUAUUGCGAGAAAUGAGUUGAGCCUCAAGACACAUUGAGGUAUUUUCAAUUUCUGCUUUUCAAAAUUCAACUCAUAUUGCGAGAAAUGAGUUGAGCCUCAAGACACGUUGAGGUAAUUUCAAUUUCUGUUUUCAAAAUUCAACUCAUAUUGCGAGAAAUGAGUUGAGCCUCAAGACACGUUGAGGUAAUUUCAAUUUCUGUUUUCAAAAUUCAACUCAUAUUGCGAGAAAUGAGUUGAGCCUCAAGACACAUUGAGGUAUUUUCAAAAUCUACUUUUCAAAUUAAGUUUCAAAAAAAUCAAUUCAUAUUGCGAGAGGUAAGUUGAGUCUCAGGUCACAUGCUGAGGUAUUUUCAAUUUUUGUUUUCAAUUUAUGUUUUUCAAAAAAUCAACUCAUAUUGCGAGAGGUGAGUUGAGCCUUUUAAUUCCUGUUUUUCAAAAAUCAACUCAUAUUGCGAGAGGUGAGUUGAACCUUUUAAUUCAACUCAUAUUGCGAGAGGUGAGUUGAGCCUUUUAAUUUCUGUUUUUCAAAAAUCAACUCAUAUUGCGAGAGGUGAGUUGAGCCUCGGGUCACAUGUCGAGGUAUUUUCAAAAUCUGCUUUUCAAAUUAAGUUUCAAAAAGAUCAACUCACAUUGCGAGAAGUGAGUUGAGCUUUAGCUCAUGUGCUGAACUAUUUUUAGUUUCUGUUUUAAUGUCUGUUUUUAAAGAAUUAAUUCAUAUUGCGAGAAAUGAGUUGAGCUCAAGAUCACAUGCCGAGUAGAGAAUAAAGAUUGAAACUGGUUGAAGACGCCAGAUUUUGUCUUUCUGAAGUUGCAGUGGAGCUGAUCGAGGAUAUAAGAUCUUGCCUUUCUGAAGUUACAGAAGAAAAGACCACAAACCUCACUUCCCUGAAGUUGUAGCGGAACAUAUUGAAGAUAUUAGAUCUCAUCUCUUUGAUGUUACAGAAGAGCAGAACACGACGGAUCUUAUAGCCCUAAAGAUGCGAGUAGAUUGAAAAUACAAGUUUCUAUCUCUUUGAAGUCACAGUGGAAUGAACUAAAGCUACAAGAUGCGAGGGACUGGAAAGAGACUACCUGAAGAAGAGAAGCGCUAAAGAGGUCAAAGCUCGACGAGGCUGGGCAAAAUUGGUCUUUCCUAAAAGUCUUUACUCUAUUCUCGUUACACGACAACAACUCUGUUCUCGUUACACGACAAUGAGUAAAGAGGGGCAGCUGUUAUAGCCCAAAUUUUGCCCCAUUUACAAUUUUGACCCACCUACCCAAUACACAAGACCCAUUAAACCCAAACCAAUAAACCAAAUCCCAUAGCCCAAAUACCACCAGCCCAAUACUCAACUAGCCCAACAUAAAAAAAAACGAAGAAAAACAGACAACAAGAAACCUUGGCUACCACACCCCACUUUCCUCUGACACUAGCACCAUCUUUGGUCACCACCAUGUCGGCUACCACGCCCCAUGCUUCUGCCAACACCAUCCCCGCAUGCCUGGCACCUCCAUACCUUGCAAGCAGCAAUGAAGAGAUAGAAACUAAUAGAAAAUGAAAGUGUAAAGGCUAUAAAAGCCAUGAAAACAAGUGUAAAAAAGGGGGGG